Long non-coding RNA from Rhipicephalus microplus (southern cattle tick), 578 nucleotides. RefSeq lists it as uncharacterized. Lineage: Eukaryota; Metazoa; Arthropoda; Arachnida; Ixodida; Ixodidae. The record is from RefSeq and is a predicted model, not a curated record.
GCACAAUUUACAUAAAAGCGGACAAAAUGAAAUACUCUCUGUCGUUCGGCAUAUCAAUGAUUUUUGUGGCGGCAUCACAUGCUUUGGAUGACUGCGAUAAGAUGACUCUCCUAAUAGGCAAUGGGAUGUGCACUGAGGGACCGCUGCCCAUUCCACCAAAUCAAGUUAUGCAGCUACGGUGCCCAUGUGCAAACGUGAUGUGUCAUGACUCCAUGAGGCGAGUCACAAUUACCUGGUCUGAUUGCGACACGAUGAGCUGGAAUACACCUGUCAUCCCAAGUGCGCACGAUCUUCGAGGGACUUAUCAGAGUUUCCCUACGCAAGAAGAAAAUUCCAAGCGGUGCUCCAAACGUCCGUCUCCAGGAACAGAGUGACUUGCGCUACCUUCGAAAGAGAAUUAAAAGCAUCACACUUUGACCAUUAGUUGAACUCAUUAUCAAGCAGCCUGUAUUAGUUCCACGUAUUCAUCGACAUUGCAACAACACUGCUUGUUUUGUGUUGCAUAUUGUUUGAAAGGUCAUUGAUUCCUUCAUAAAAAUCAAUCUGAAAAGUAAUAAAACGUAAUGAAAUCCUAUUGA